RNAcentral lists this ribosomal RNA (300 nucleotides) under uncultured Entomoplasma sp. RNAcentral describes it as "bacterial SSU rRNA". It matches the Rfam family "Bacterial small subunit ribosomal RNA", at positions 496 to 795 of the family's 1533-position model. The record is from RNAcentral. Lineage: Bacteria; Bacillati; Mycoplasmatota; Mollicutes; Entomoplasmatales; Entomoplasmataceae.
UCUGACUGCCGGACCGGUGCGUGACGAAUACGAGGGGUGCAAACAGUGCGCGGAAUAAGUGAGAGUAAAGCGAACGUAUUAGGCUUAGCAAGAACCAGAGGAAAUCCCACGGCUUAACCGUGGAAGGGCAUGGUAAACGGCUGAGCUUGAGUACUUAAGAGGAUCGCGGGAUUCCCGGUGUAGAGGUGAAAUUCGUAGAUAUCGGGAGGAACACCAGUGGCGAAGGCGGCGAUCUGGGAAGAUACUGACGCUGAGGUGCGAAAGCGUGGGGAGCAAACAGGAUUAGAUACCCGUGUAGUC